UAAAAGUCGGGAUUCUACGAACAAUAACGCUCGCGCUAUAAAACUAGUAUAAAAAGAGGAUUUGGGAGGUGGGAUCCUGGAGGAGACCAUAAUCCGGAUUCUUAUAGGACUCGCCCGGAAGGAAGCGUAUACCACCAGGUGGGAGGAGAACAAAGCGCGAGGCGAGCAUGGUAAAAAGCAGGGACGGACAGUCCUUACAGUAUGGCCGAGAAGGGCAUCUGUCAUAUGGGGGAGAAUCUUAGGUGGGGACCAGACGGUUCCAUUGUACAAGAAGGUGCAUAAUCAUCAGCCUGACAUCUCACAACACAGAACGCACAGGACGAAUGGAGCUGCCACCGAUCAAGGUGACGGUGAAGGAGACUGUACCGCAGGACAAGGUUGCGUGUACAAUGAUGUAACGUGGGUGUGACAGGAUACUAGCGGUAGUGUAACGGGACCUGGGCUCUGGUUUAACACCACCCGAGGAACAAGUGGAAGUUGUAAGGGCAAUGAGGUAUAUAUGAAAAGCAGUGGUAGCAUUGCCUUUACAGUAAAUUGCACGAGGGGAAACUUGUAUAGGGAAACCUAUAAAUGAAAGUAGCUGGAAAUCUGUUGGCAAUGCAACAAUGGGGUGCAUAACCAUGGAAAACACAGCUGUAACAGUCACACCUGAGGGGAACAGGGUGGGUUUAUGCUCGUGACAAGGGAGCACAUUUACAACGUGUAAUGGGGAAAUGGGCCUCAAAUGUAACACCACAAAAGGGUCACGAGCUUCCCUGUCGACAGAAUCCCAUAAUGAGAGGGGUUUGAACUCUAACGGAUCAAUGGUGAAAAUUAAGAUAAAUUAAUAAAACCCAGAACACCCCCACUCUGCAGACGACACUGCGUAUGGUGAUGGCAGGAACAACGACCACCCCAAAACCCCCGGAAUGCCUUAAAAAUGGGACGGAAGUAGUACCCUUAAAUACAGGUUUAGUAGUGAUCCCAGAGGGAGAAGAGGUGAUUAUUGUACCAGGGUAUACCCAUGUAAAGAUAGUAGUUGAUCUGACAGGACUCAAUAUGCCAGAAUGGUGCCACAACAAACUGAAAGAUCUACAUACCAAAUUGUUAAGGGAGGUCGUCAACCAGAAGGGGUUGCAAAUGGAUGUUGAGGCACAGCAGUCGAUAAACGCUACUAUAAUAACCCCUACCCGAAGGACUUAAGGGGGUGGCUUCAGGGAGGAAGUGUAGGAAAAGGGGAAUUUUAGAAGUAGCAGGGAUAGGUUAUGCAGCUGGAGAAGCUACUAUGAAUAUAGGAACUCUGCAGAUGGAGAUUGAUAAAUUAAAAGCCCAUAUGACGCAGAUAGUCCAGGAUGGAUAUGGUACUCAGGAGGCGACAGGCCAGAAUAGCAAGAAGCUGACCAUCUUAAUUAAAAAGGGACUGAAGCAGCUUAAACUAAUAUCUGGCACAGUUAACUGAUUGAUCAGCAGGCAAGAGAGCAAAGAAAAGAACGAAAUACAGGAUGCUGUAUGCACCCUGUAUGGGUCCUGGGUUUUGGCUCAAGUAGACAAGAAUUUGCUGCGACUUAAAAAUUAUCAGGUGCCAGAUUGGAUAGGUGAGAAAACCUUACAAAGGUGGGCACGGGUGCCAUCUCAAGGAAACAUCAACAUUAGAGAUGUCUCUCUGGCCACCCAAGCUCAAGUGUAGUGGCAAAAAAGGGAGGAGCAAUAAUUUUGGGUAUAAUCUUAAAUAUACCUAAAGCCAGGAACGAUAGCCUAAGAUCCAAGUUAUACCGAGUCGAAAACAUGGGAUGGGUAAAGGAGAAAGUGUGAAUGAGGACCCCAGAAGCCCUGAGGUGGGCAGUAAGAAUGAACAACGGGACAAAAGGGUUGAGGCGAGCUCAAUGUCAUCAAGCUGAGAAUAUCUGGUUGUGCCCAGAAUAUGCUAUAAUUAAUGAAGGAUUGUGCGGCCUUAAUCACUGGGAUAAUUGUUUGAUACGUGUAGACCCGACUAAGUAUAUGGAAGGACCCAUAAUACUACUCAUCAUUAUAUUGUAACCACUGGUUUGAACUAUACUGUCCGGAAUAAGCCUUGUAUUUUGCCAAGUUAUAAUGUGAUAAUUAAGGACUCCAGGGAAAGGCUAACCUUUGGGAGCAACAUCCUAGAACCACUACAAAAGAACACAAUCGUUCAGGCCAACGCAAAAAUUCGACGAACUGAUAGCGACAUAGAAAUAUAUGACUGUGCACCGCACCCUACCACAAUUCCCCCUAUCGAUGCUAACUGGAACCAACUCAUCACAGAAGCAACCGACAUAAUCUACAAAUGGAAUGACGUUGAGCAGAAGAUUUGGACCAAUCAGGAGAGAGUUAAUGAACUUUUAAGGAAAAACUCUAUUAUGGCACUAAUUUGGGACUGGAGUAUGAAUGUGAAUGUGCACCCAUGGUUGAGAAUCCUCUCACACAUACUGGUUGUAAUCCAAGCACUGAUAAUUGUCAUAUUAAUCAUAAUUAUGUAUUGCUUUAAGAGGAACACCAGGAGAUGGCAAAGGGAAUGAUACGCUAUGGACAUGGUGGAAUUAAGAUGACCAUUACCACUUAGCGGGCGAGGAAAGGCAGUGAAAGAGGGAAAAAUCUAUGACAAUAUAAACUAUAUAUAAUUAGGGCCUGCAUGGGCAUGGCCAUAGGUCAACAGUGGGGACUGAAGAGGCAUAUCCACGACAAGGGCUAGAGAAUAGCAAAAUACACGUAACCACCCUAGAGUUGACAUGGGUUCCAAAGGUCAAGUAAGGCUUAGUGAAGCACACAGUUGGUAAAAACAGGGACUUGCUUUAGACUUUGCACAGAUAUACAGACACUAUCACCACGUGAUAAUAGAAGGCUGAAACACAAAAGGAUAUUGUAGGGCACAGCAAAAAUAUAACUGGCGCAAACCAGUAUAGCAGUUUAAAAAUCCUUAGUUAAACCAGAUGUAAAGACAGGGUGAUAACACAUGAAGGAUUGACUGAUAGUAAAGCCUGAGAAAACACAAGAUGAAUGAGGAACAUUAAUAGCCACCCUUGUAAUCAAGGUGGAGAUAAGAAUAGUGUUCUGUGUUUGAUCAACAUUUUAGCCUGAUAAUAUUGAUGAGUUGCGUGCAAAGAUGUAACGUGAAAAUUAUAUAAGUUACGAGACUUUGUAAUUACGGCAGAGUACCUCUGGACGGACUCAGAGGGCUCUCCCUGCGUAUGCUGGUAACAAGCUUGAAUAAACCGUCCUGUUCGAGAAUCCAAA
Molecule: long non-coding RNA, 3231 nt
Organism: Carcharodon carcharias (great white shark)
Lineage: Eukaryota; Metazoa; Chordata; Chondrichthyes; Lamniformes; Lamnidae
Exons: 2
Source: RefSeq, a predicted model, not a curated record